UACGAAGGGUGCAAGCGUUACUCGGAAUUACUGGGCGUAAAGGGUGCGUAGGUGGUGAUGCAAGUCUGGUGUGAAAUCUCGGAGCUCAACUCCGAAAUUGCACCGGAUACUGCGUGACUCGAGGACUGUAGAGGAGAUCGGAAUUCACGGUGUAGCAGUGAAAUGCGUAGAUAUCGUGAGGAAGACCAGUUGCGAAGGCGGAUCUCUGGGCAGUUCCUGACACUGAGGCACGAAGGCCAGGGGAGCAAACGGG
This 253-nucleotide ribosomal RNA is filed under the name uncultured bacterium. Its description in RNAcentral is "partial 16S ribosomal RNA". It matches the Rfam family "Bacterial small subunit ribosomal RNA", at positions 524 to 776 of the family's 1533-position model. The record is from RNAcentral.